GACGAACGCUGGCGGUGUGCUUAACACAUGCAAGUCGAACGGUAAGGCCCUUUCGGGGGUACACGAGUGGCGAACGGGUGAGUAACACGUGAGUAACCUGCCCUCAUCUCUGGGAUAACAGUCGGAAACGGUUGCUAAUACUGGAUAUGAGCUUGCAAGGCAUCUUGUGGGUUGGAAAGAUUUUUUUUGGUUGGGGAUGGACUCUCGGCCUAUCAGCUUGUUGGUGAGGUAGUGGCUCACCAAGGCUUCGACGGGUAGCCGGCCUGAGAGGGCGACCGGCCACAUUGGGACUGAGAUACGGCCCAAACUCCUACGGGAGGCAGCAGUGGGGAAUAUUGCACAAUGGACGGAAGUCUGAUGCAGCAACGCCGCGUGCGGGAUGACGGCCUUCGGGUUGUAAACCGCUUUCAAUUGUGACGAAGCUUUUUUGUGACGGUAGCAGUAGAAGAAGCACCGGCUAACUACGUG
RNAcentral lists this ribosomal RNA (468 nucleotides) under uncultured bacterium. RNAcentral's name for it is "partial 16S ribosomal RNA". It matches the Rfam family "Bacterial small subunit ribosomal RNA", at positions 28 to 507 of the family's 1533-position model. The record is from RNAcentral.